This 335-nucleotide unclassified non-coding RNA is filed under the name soil metagenome. Its description in RNAcentral is "partial contains 5.8S ribosomal RNA, internal transcribed spacer 2, and large subunit ribosomal RNA". The stretch from base 1 to 120 matches the Rfam family "5.8S ribosomal RNA", at positions 35 to 154 of the family's 154-position model. The record is from RNAcentral.
GAUGAAGAACGUAGCGAAAUGCGAUAAGUAAUGUGAAUUGCAGAAUUCAGUGAAUCAUCGAAUCUUUGAACGCACAUUGCGCCCGCCAGUAUUCUGGCGGGCAUGCCUGUUCGAGCGUCAUUUCAACCAUCAAGCCCCCGGCUUGUGUUGGGGACCUGCGGCUGCCGCAGGCCCUGAAAACCAGUGGCGGGCUCGCUAGUCACUCCGAGCGUAGUAAUACGUCUCGCUCAGGGCGUGCUGCGGGUUCCGGCCGUUAAAAAGCCUUAUUUACCCAAGGUUGACCUCGGAUCAGGUAGGAAGACCCGCUGAACUUAAGCAUAUCAAUAAGCGGAGGA